Molecule: ribosomal RNA, 465 nt
Filed under: uncultured Klebsiella sp.
Lineage: Bacteria; Pseudomonadati; Pseudomonadota; Gammaproteobacteria; Enterobacterales; Enterobacteriaceae
Description: bacterial SSU rRNA
Rfam family: Bacterial small subunit ribosomal RNA
Source: RNAcentral
CCUACGGGGAGCUGCAGUGGGGAAUAUUGCACAAUGGGCGCAAGCCUGAUGCAGCCAUGCCGCGUGUGUGAAGAAGGCCUUCGGGUUGUAAAGCACUUUCAGCGGGGAGGAAGGCGUUAAGGUUAAUAACCUUGUCGAUUGACGUUACCCGCAGAAGAAGCACCGGCUAACUCCGUGCCAGCAGCCGCGGUAAUACGGAGGGUGCAAGCGUUAAUCGGAAUUACUGGGCGUAAAGCGCACGCAGGCGGUCUGUCAAGUCGGAUGGGAAAUCCCCGGGCUCAACCUGGGAACUGCAUUCGAAACUGGCAGGCUAGAGUCUUGUAGAGGGGGGUAGAAUUCCAGGUGUAGCGGUGAAAUGCGUAGAGAUCUGGAGGAAUACCGGUGGCGAAGGCGGCCCCCUGGACAAAGACUGACGCUCAGGUGCGAAAGCGUGGGGAGCAAACAGGAUUAGAUACCCCGGUAGUC